UUAAAAAGCUCGUAGUUGGAUCUAGGGACGCGCAUUUCAAGCGCCCGUGUCGUUGGGUCAAACCAGCGACUGCGUUGGCGUUGCGGGCUCGGUCCGUCGGUGCCCACAAAGCACUGGUGUGUCAACCGGCCCGCCCGUCCCCUCCUUCUGGAUUCCCGUUCCUGCUAUUGAGUUAGUGGGGACGUCACAGGGAGCUCAUCGUCGUCAGCAAUGCCGGCGGUGGGUUCCUGGGGCCCAGAUCGUUUACCGUGAAAAAAUUAGAGUGUUCAAAGCAGGCAGAUCCAAUUUUCUGCCACCGAAUACAUUAGCAUGGGAUAAUGGAAUAGGACCCUGUCCUCCUAUUUUCAGUUGGUUUUGGCAGCGCGAGGACUAGGGUAAUGAUUAAUAGGGAUAGUUGGGGGCAUUAAUAUUUAAUUGUCAGAGGUGAAAUUCUUGGAUUUAUGAAAGAUUAACUUCUGCGAAAGCAUCUGCCAAGGAUGUUUUCAUUAAUCAAGAACGAAAGUUAGGGGAUCGAAGACGAUCAGAUACCGUCGUAGUCUUAACCAUAAACGAUGCCGACCAGCGAUUAGGAGACGUUGAAUACAAAACACCACCAUCGGUGCGGUCGUCCUUGGCGUCUCGGUUUCGGCCGGGGUGCGGGGACGGCUUAGCCCGGUGGCACCGGUGAAUGACUCCCCUAGCAGCUUGUGAGAAAUCAUAAGUCUUUGGGUUCCGGGGGGAGUAUGGUCGCAAGGCUGAAAC
RNAcentral lists this ribosomal RNA (741 nucleotides) under Acanthamoeba polyphaga. RNAcentral's name for it is "SSU rRNA". It matches the Rfam family "Eukaryotic small subunit ribosomal RNA", at positions 619 to 1143 of the family's 1831-position model. Lineage: Eukaryota; Discosea; Longamoebia; Acanthamoebidae. The record is from RNAcentral.